RNAcentral lists this ribosomal RNA (433 nucleotides) under uncultured bacterium. RNAcentral's name for it is "partial 16S ribosomal RNA". It matches the Rfam family "Bacterial small subunit ribosomal RNA", at positions 29 to 507 of the family's 1533-position model. The record is from RNAcentral.
AACGAACGCUGGCGGCAUGCCUAACACAUGCAAGUCGAACGAGACCUUCGGGUCUAGUGGCGCACGGGUGCGUAACGCGUGGGAACCUGCCCUUAGGUUCGGAAUAACUCCCCGAAAGGGGUGCUAAUACCGGAUAAUGUCUUCGGACCAAAGAUUUAUCGCCUUUGGAUGGGCCCGCGUUGGAUUAGCUAGUUGGUAGGGUAAAAGCCUACCAAGGCGACGAUCCAUAGCUGGUCUGAGAGGAUGAUCAGCCACACUGGGACUGAGACACGGCCCAGACUCCUACGGGAGGGAGCAGGGGGGGAUAUUGGACAAUGGGCGAAAGGCUGAAACAGCCACGCCGCGUUAGUGAUGAAGGCCUUAGGGUUGGAAAGCUCCUUUACCCGGGAUGAUAAUGACAGUACCGGGAGAAUAAGCUCCGGCUAACUCCGUG